Maylandia zebra (zebra mbuna) is the source of this 462-nucleotide non-coding RNA. The record is from RefSeq and is a predicted model, not a curated record. NCBI's taxonomy places the organism in Eukaryota, Metazoa, Chordata, Actinopteri, Cichliformes, Cichlidae.
CAUGUUUAAUGGUCACGUGCUGUGAAAGGGACUGAAGAGCGGGUUGGCAGGGGAGAUCACUUGCUGUGUGAUUCCUGCGUGUGUACUUGUCCUAGCACAGUAGCUGUGUGGAGAAACCGAAGUGAGUUCAUGAUGUUCUCCCAUAGAAAUGUAUGUUUAAAAGAGAGUUUACAGUGCACUUUAUUGCCAGUUGACCUGCGAAGUUGUGGGAUGUAAACAAUGUGUUUAUUUGUUUUGUUUUCUCUUUUUUUGUUGUAUUUGUUUCUUGACAGGUCACUACUGUUGUCUAUACUGUUUGGAUUUAACAUGUACAUAUGAUAGUUACUGUUGUCUCAGACCCUGAAAGGCAGUUUAGGCUGAGCCAGUGGAAUAGUUAAAUUUUGCCGUUUCACUCAAAACUACAGAAUUAAAACUGUGCUCCUCCGAGUACAGUCGGAGAAUAAAAAAGCCCACAAAAGAGUA